UACAUGGUUUUGAGGCUAACACAGCGAGUAAAAGAGAUCGCUAAAAGGGUUUAUUAUGCAUAACUAUUCAACUAUUCUUUAAGAGUAGAGCUUUCCUACCCUAAAUAUUUAGCUGAGUACAUCUGUAAGAAAAAAAGCUAUCCUAGUGGGAAUUAAGGGGGUUAGGACAGACAAAAAUUAUUGAAUUUUGAAAUUUUGGUGUGCGACCCUGGCUGUCAGGUAUAUAAUUAUUUCUUUUAUCUCCCCUGCAGAUCCUCUACAAUUACCUAUUUUUGAUGUAUGAAAGGGUGCUGUAUUCCUCGUCACACCCCUCAAAAGAAUAACGUUUGCGGCAGAGAUCGACGUGGCACUCCGUGGCAAUUCCACCAUGAAGUAGUAACCCACUUAGGGCUUUCUGUGCUUGAAACUGACGCAUGCGCAAUAAGAACAGUCAUGAUCCAAGAUGGCGGAUGUUGUGGGAUGUCAAGAUGGAUAGAGUUACCUGAAUCUUGACUUCUUGUUUUUGAAUAUGGCCACAGACUCGUCAGUGGGUAGUUCACACAUUGAACACCUUUUGGCAGAAGUAGAAUCGAGUGACGGGCUGCUUGGACCAACGUUAAGAGCGGUGUAUGAUGGAGAAUAUCAAAAGGAGUUUAUGGAAAAGCUNGAGGAUAGGAUUAAGGUUCAUGAUAAAGACAUAGAACGAAUGUGUAAUUAUCAUUAUCAAGGGUUCAUUGAAUCGGUGAAUGAACUCCUCAAAGUACGCGGUGAAGCAAGGAAACUCAAGAUAAAGGUUCAAGAAGGCAAUGAAGUUUUGAAGAAGUCUGGAACUGAGCUUGUUGACAGAUGUGAAGAGCUUAUAAAGUGUCGUACAAUACAAAGAAACAUUGCAUCAGCCAUUGAAGCCCUCAGUGUCUGUCUACCAGUGCUGGAUAUGCAUGCAAAGUUAAGUGAUCAAAUGAGUAAUAGAAGAUACUAUCCAGCUCUCAAAACAUUAGAACAACUGGAACACACCUAUCUACCACGAAUCAAAAAAUUUAGGUUUGCUGAAAUUAUGAAAAAUAGUAUUCCUAUAUUCAGAGAGAACAUCAAAGAAGCAUCCAUGUCUGAUUUAAGGGAUUUUCUUGAAAGUAUUAGAAAAGAAUCAGAGAAACUUGGGUCUGUUGCUAUGAAACAAGCAUUUCACAGAAGUAACCUUACCCUGUCACAUGGUGUUGGAACAAGAAAGAAGGGUGAUGAUGAUGAGUUAGAUCAGUCUGCUUUGGAUCUUGUUGACUUCUCUCCUGUAUAUAGAUGUUACCACAUCUAUACUGUUGUAGGAGAAAAGGAGAAUUUUGAAGUGUAUUACAGAAAGCAACGCAGAAAACAAGCAAGACUUGUGUUGCAGCCUAAUCAUGGAACAAUUGAUGAGUCACUUGAGGCAUACAGAGCAUAUUUUCAUCAAAUAGUAGGUUUCUUUGUGGUAGAAGAUACAAUAUUGCACACAGCAAAGGGUCUAGUUACAAGAUCCACUGUUGAUGAUCUUUGGGAUAUGGCUGCAUCCAAAAUAGCUGCUGUAAUGAGGACACAAUCUGCCUAUUGCAAAGAAACAGACCUUCUUAUUCAAGUCAAAGAGUUGAUUGUCUGGUUUUGCUAUACUCUAUCAGGAUAUGGACUCAAUGUUAAUCAAAUAUAUGAUGUUUUGAUAGAGAUGAGAAAUCUCUAUAAUGAAACAUUGAUGAAGAAAUGGGAAGGAGACUUCAAACAGAUAUUAGAGGUUGAUAACUACUCGCCUAUGUAUAUUGAAGAAUGUACAAAAUACCAGGACGUAUUAAAUGAAUUUCCUUACACAGAUAAACCAACCAAGAAUGUGUCUUUGCCUAAGGUGCUUCCUUUCUCUGAGUGUCCUGUCAAACUGUACAAAGAAUUUAAAAAGUUCAUAAAUGCUUGCUUGAAGUUUAAUGAACACCUCAAUGUCAGUCAAACAGAAAUUGGAGACUCAGUUAGAAAAUCAACGAAUUUGUUGUUAACUCGGACCUUAAAUGGAUGUUUUACAUCAGUCGUCAAAAGAAAAGAAGUUUCCAUUCCACAGCUUGCACAAUUAUCCAUAAACACUGUGCACUUGGAGGCAGCUUGCUUGCAUUUAGAGGAAUAUGUUUCAGAAGUGACAGGGACAGCUAAUGAUGGUGUCAACGUUACACGGGUUUAUGGUUUAUCAACAUUUAAAGAUAUACGUGCUGAGAUAGAGCAGCAAAUGUAUGAAAGACUGAAUGAAAAGAUCGAAGACUUCAUACAACUGGCCAACUACAAUUGGGUUCCAUCUGGACCAAGAAAACAGCCAAGCAGUUACAUUAUGGACUUAUUAGCAUAUUUGAACAGCACAUUUUUGAAUUUCUCAGCUCUUCCUGGAAACAUUGCUCAAACAGCUUGUCUGUCAUCUUGUAAACAUCUUGCUUCAAGCAUGAGAACUCUUUUAUUGGAUGAGGAGGUCUAAUGGGUGACCUUUCCAAAUCUGGGUUACCUAUGGGGGUCUGCUGGGUCAUCUACAGGGUCUGAUGGGCCAUCUACCAUGUCUGAUGGCUCACUUACCAUGUCAAAUGGGUCACUUACCAUGUCUGAUGGGUCACCUGUCAUGUCUGAUGAGUCACCUACCAUGUCUGAUGGGUCACCUACCAGGUCUGAUGGGUCACUUACCAUGUCUGAUGGGUCACCUACCAGGUCUGAUGGGUUACUUACCAGGUCUGAUGNGUCACCUACCAUGUCUGAUGAGUCACCAACUGUACCAGGUCAGAUGGGUCACCUACCAUGACUGAUGGGUCAAAUACCAGGUCUGAUGGGUCAGCUACCAUGUCUGAUGGGUCACCAACUGUACCAGGUCUGAUGGGUCACCUACCAGGUCUGAUGGGUCACCUACCAGGUCUGAUGGGUCACUUACCAGGUCUGAUGGUUCUCCUCCCAGGUUCGGCAAAUGAAUGAAUUUGGAAUCCAGUGCUUCAACCAGGACCUAAGAAAAUGUGAAGAAUUUGCCAAUUCCAAUCCAGUGGAAGGUAUAAGUGAUGGGACACUGCAAAUGACGUUCCUUGAGCUACGUCAG
Molecule: unclassified non-coding RNA, 3052 nt
Filed under: Exaiptasia diaphana
Lineage: Eukaryota; Metazoa; Cnidaria; Anthozoa; Actiniaria; Aiptasiidae
Description: exocyst complex component 6B, transcript variant X2
Source: RNAcentral